CUACGAGCAGCGGAGAGCUUUCGUCAUUUUCAGCUCACUCCAGCUUCCGAAAGCUGGUGCGAAGUGUUUCAUCUAACUUGCAUUUUAGCGAAGUUUCUCUCGCGGUCCCAGAAGCCUGGGGACAGGCAGGGGGCAACUCCGGACCUGGCAGGUGCCUGCCUGGCAGGAGCGCUCCCGGGGGCAGCGAGCGGAGCCGGCGACAAAAGGAGGACGGUUUGCGCAAAACCUCAGGGGCCGGCUUUGGAGACGGAGGGAAAAAAAAGAAAUAAAAAUAAUAAUAAUAAAAAAGAAAAAAUCUCGGAGCGCGGCGACGAGCCCCUGGCAGCGGUCCCCGGAGCGCCGGGUGGCCGCGGGGGGGUCCGGGGAGCUCCGCAGCCGCAGCUCGGGGGGCGCCCGGCCCCGCGCAACCCCCGCGCCCCGCAGCCCCCCCGUUCCCUCCAGCUCCCCCCUCCCCGUCACUCCUCCCGACCCUGCGCUUCGCUCUGCUUUCCCCCGCCGUCGGGGCCGCCGCGAGGAGCGCGGGGAAGAAGUUUGCCAAAGUUUCAGAUAUUUUUUCUUUCUUUUUUUUUUUUUUCCCUUUUUUUUUUUUUGUUUUUUCCCCUCCCCGCUCCUUGCGCCUCGCCGCGGGGGCGGCGGGCAGGGGAGCGGGGCGGGCGGCCGGCAGCUCGCCGGCUGCAGGUGUGUGCGAAGGCUCCCGUCGGGAGGCUCCGCAGGCUGCAGCGCCGCACGGAGCCCCCUCCGGCCCGCACCCCCGGACCCCCCCACGCCCCGUCCCCCCGCCCUCUCUGCCGGGUGGGCUCCGUAGAGCACCGCGGCGGUGCCCCCGGCGCGGCCCCGUCCGUCCCCCCCCCCCGUGCCCGUGGAGCGCCGCCGAAGGAGCGGGAGCGACUCACUCAUGGGAGCGCGGCGGGCGAGGCCGGCGACACCUCCGGCUUCCGAGGCGCCGGCGAAGUUAAUUGCACUGAAGUUCAAGUUGUCUUUUCACCCAUCAGGAGUGGGCGUUUAAAGGAAGGAGAGCGAGGAGGAGGAGGGGGAGGGGGGAGGGGGGAGAGUCGCUCUCGCUCUCGCUCGCUCUCGCACACACACCCGCACACACCCGCACACACACACACACGGAGGCACAGCCAGCCAGCCACACGCACAGACACACGGACACACGCACACAGCCACACGCGCGCACCCGCCCGCUCGGCUCCGCUCCCGAGCUGCCUCAGCAAGGAGGAGCCCGGACGGAAACCACCAGGGCAGCAAGACCCUUCUUUCCCAUCUUCGCUGCUGCACGGUUUGGAUGUGGAGUUCCUGGAAAGUGAACCUGGCAAUGAGUGCAGGUUUCCCUGA
Molecule: long non-coding RNA, 1338 nt
Filed under: Anas platyrhynchos platyrhynchos (common mallard)
Lineage: Eukaryota; Metazoa; Chordata; Aves; Anseriformes; Anatidae
Description: lncRNA (ENSAPLG00000027331.1)
Source: RNAcentral